UGUCCCUCCCCUGUGUCCAUAACUUUAGGAGGGGUGGGAGGAGGCCAAUGUGACCUUGUGUGAAACAGCCUCUGCUCCUUGUACCUGUACCCAGUGGAGAAAGCUGAGCUCCAGGGGCUUAGACGUGCUCUAUCUCCAUGUGAUCUACUUCUGAUCUCUCUUUCUUGCCCUGGGUGGUGACUCCCUCCUGGGUUGGCCAGGAGUCUACUGGAAUCAGCAUCGAUCUCCCAGUGACUGUUGAAAGCAAUCCGGGAGAUUGAUAUUGUGAAUGUGUUGAACAGUACGGUUAACAACUAGAGGUGCACAGAUAUGUCGGUCCCAUAUCAGAUCAGCACUGGUAUAAGGAAAAUUGACAGUAUCGGCAAUCAGCUUUUUUUGGCUGAUGUGGUCGAUAAUGUCGCUGACAAAUGCCUCGGGCACGCGUGCAGCCACAGCGCAGCACGCAGGCGGCCAGGAGCGCAGCCUAGCAUUGUGGAGAGCAGCCGGGUCUCGCUGUCAGCACAGGCAGAGAAGGCGGCAGCUGGUUUCCACAGGAGUUUCUCACUCUUCGUCGGCUUUCUCAGAGAGCUUGCUUUUUAUUCUCCUGCUUCGAGCUGCUAAGGUGCCAGGGCUUUUUUUCUUUGCAUGAAGGCCUGAAAUGCAGGAGGCUGCAAGUGGGAAAGGAAAAGUGGAGGGGAAGAAAACAAACCCUGUUGACAUCUUUUCUCUGCCCCUGUGUGACGCAGCAGACUGGGCAAGGUGGUCUGACCCAGGUGAUGGCAGAUCUCUCCGCCAGGCCCAGCUUUGUUACCUUCUACAGCCUCUGCUCUUGUUUUGGUUUUGAAUAAAGAAAACCAUCUUGUCAAUCUGAAUUGCAUUAAAGUGCUCCUGGGCCUCA
Alligator mississippiensis (American alligator) is the source of this 877-nucleotide long non-coding RNA. RefSeq lists it as uncharacterized. The record is from RefSeq and is a predicted model, not a curated record. NCBI's taxonomy places the organism in Eukaryota, Metazoa, Chordata, Crocodylia, Alligatoridae. The transcript has 2 exons.